UACCUAGGAGGUGGAAAGAGAGAGAUGCACAGUCAGCCCUCGUCCCACAGAGCCCAGCAAGAGAAAACCGUCUGGCAUGCUUUCAGUCGGCAAAGGUGACAGAGGGGCGCAGGGCAAGAGAGCUGUGCUUAGGUGGCCCACCCUAGGCUUGCCCCAGGGCUUUUUCCCCAGCCAGAACUCACUGGAACUCAGUUCUGGCUGUUGAAUGGUGGGCGCUAUUGCCAUUAUAAGAGAAUGAGGGAGGUGAGUUCAUGGUGAGUCCUGGCACCUCUUUUUCUAGAAAAAUAGCACUGGCUGGCACCUUCCCCUGGGAUGGCCAUGCCAUACAGCUUUCAUCUAGUUCACACCUGAACUUUCCAACGCAAUACGAUUUGAAAUUGCAGCGUUAAGCCUUGGUCACUCACAUCAAAGUCCAAAUGCUCGGAGACAUAUUUCAUGAGUACGUUGGUGGUCUUGACUGCUCUUUGCCUCUCACUGAUUUUUGUGGAGUCAAUCCAGCCAUUUGUGUGCUGCGAGAGAGAAAUCAUCGUCAUCACAUGGAAGGACAACCCUUAAUCCAGGGACUCGAGGCAGCUUACAAACAAAACAAGAACAACUAAAGACACAGAAAAAAGAAGCCAUUAAAAAAAAAGCAUUAGUAGAAUUAGAUAUUAAUUGGCUCUUGGGUUGCUUUUGUUUUAUUAUGCAUUUUCUGUUCUGAUUGUGUAUUUUUAUGUUGUGAACCGCCCUGCAAUCUGUCAUUUGUGUGUUUGUGUGUGUGAUAAUUACAACAAUACAACAUACACCUCACCACAGCCAUAGCAAUGGAAUGCAGGAAGCAUCCUUAGACCAAGCCCAGCCAUUGAUCCACAGGUACUGAGGACUGGCAGUUGGCCCUUUGGCCUUUCAGGCAGAGAGCCUUUUCCCAGCCCCACCUGGAGAUGCUGAGGACUGAACCGGGGAC
Podarcis raffonei (Aeolian wall lizard) is the source of this 943-nucleotide long non-coding RNA. RefSeq lists it as uncharacterized. The record is from RefSeq and is a predicted model, not a curated record. The transcript has 3 exons. Lineage: Eukaryota; Metazoa; Chordata; Lepidosauria; Squamata; Lacertidae.